ACCGCCACCCCCGCCACCACCACCACCACCACCACCACCACCACCACCACUGGCUGGCGACGCAGAGCAGUGUGGAUGGUGAAGUGGUAGUGAGCGCUGCUACUGACGAAGGUCAGGAGGCGGAAAGCUCAAGCCUGAAAAGUGUGAAAUAUUUCGUUACUCCUCUCUCACUGCUUCCACCACCACCACUUCACCACCGCCUAGCCUUCAUCUUCCGAUCUCGGAACCUUUUCAAAAUAAUCGGGAUGCGGCACAGAAGCGUUGCAGAAUAGAGUGUCUUUUUAGAUAAUCUGAUCACUCUGACUUAUUCAUUUUCUUUUUUUUUUUUUAAUCGCUUCAUGGUGGACGGAAAGAAGUGUGCGCCGUGAGGGAAUCGGUGAGGGCGAGGGUGAGAGAGCGACGCGUGGCUCACGACCUGGGAGAGCCGAGGCCAUGGCGUUACCAAGAGAAAGAGAAUUGGUAGCACGCCUGUCCUUCCUGCUAACCUGCCUGCUUCUGAGUACAGGCGGCGUCAGAAGCACACUGAUUGGAGAGGAACCAAUUACGGACAUUGAGGUAAACGGAGCAAGCGGCGGAGCAGGAGUGGAGGCAACGGAAGAUGUACUCAGGGGGGAGGAGGGCGUGGUGGUGGCUGAGAACGGCACCACGGAGGCUGUGAUACUGGACUGCCCUUACGAGCUGGAUAGGAAUGACGCCGUUGGUCUCUACGUCAAAUGGUUCUAUCACCAGUACCGCCCGAUUCUUGUGUACCAGUGGAUCUUUGACCGUAAACCCGAGGCCAUAUCGGUGCUGAGGGGCCGUGUGGACCUGACAUACGAGGCCUCUGAAGUGGACAUCUAUCGCUACCGUGCCAUCCGUAUCAUGAAACCCACCACAGACAUCGCCGGCCAUUACAAGUGUGAAGUCGCCUCAAACACAGUGGAGAGCAACUUCCCUCGAGAUCUCGUCGUGUUUAAGAAUCCAAGCGUCCUAGACGUGCAAGCCGAGGCGACAGGGGAAGACCAGGUAAAUGUCACGUGCCAGGUGGAGGAGGUGUUCCCGCAGCCUGUCCUCUUUCUAUACAAGAAGUCCGCGUCCAAAGACAGUGAGAUGCUGAGGGGAGUCACCCAGGUUACAUCCUUCAUGGACAGCACUUACAACAUGCACAUAGAGAAGGUGGUGGAUGAGGCAACACUGGAUGGCCUUACUGAGUUUGAGUGUGUCAUGGGCAUCCCCAAGACAAGGGUGAAGAGGAGCACUUCCACCAAGUACCAGCCCAGAGUGUCCGUCACAACUGGUGCUGUGACUCAAGGCAGCAACACACAGCGGGCCUCAGCGGUGCUCCUGCUUGUGCUCUCCUUCCUCACCUGUCUGCUGUACGGUUGAGGGCUUCCCUUCAUAGCGUCUAAUGGUGAGCCCUCUCCCAGUGCCCUGGUGCUUCUCUAAUGGGUUGAAGAGUGAGCUGCUGUGAGAACCCCAAGAUGAUUAGAUCAAGUCUUCCUCUAGCAUACUUUUAUACAUAUUCUAUACAGUUAUAUUUAUCACAACUUUACCAUAAUCCUCUUCCUAUAUAGAAUGCAAGAUGGUAAUUUCUUUGAGUUUGGCAUGUACAGUAUUCAGAAAUGCUUUGUUUUCUCACCACGAAUGUCUUCAUUAGUUGUGGUGAAGUGGUACAGGUUGUUCAUGGUGUUUUUAUGUAUCUAAUGACAGAGUAACAAUAUAAUUUCUACUACACUACUAACAGGAGAUAUAUGCCUGAGAACCUGACCAAUCAUCUCUGUGGCCUUGAAGACUGUCGUGGUGAGAGAGCAAGUGUUUCUGAAUAUGUGCUUAUUUAAAUGUACACAAGGAUUAACAUAUGCAAUGAUAAGGACAUUCAAGUCAGAGUGUUGUGUAAAAUAGUUCCCACUGUUGGCCAUGACUUACUGAGGGAGGGUAAGUCUCCUUCAGAUGGCUCUGUGGCAGGACACUAUCACUAGAACAUAUAUAUACUUGUACAUUAUUCAUGGUUUAAUUUCUAUAUAUUUUUACCUCCUUGCUGUGGUGAAUUACGUAACAGUGUACAUGGAAACCUUACGUGUCUUUGUAUCAUCUAGUCAAGUGGUUAUCUCUCCGUGCCAUUCAGCUUAUAUCUGCCAAAUAACGAGUCCCUCCAAUGAGCAGCCAGAUGCAAUAUAUCCCUCUGAGGGCAGCUGUGAUACUGCUUCACAAGGCACCAGCCAACUGACUUAGAAAACAACAAUUUUGUAAUAUAAUAGGACAAUUGUGAUCACAGCAAGGCGGGCAACAAAGCUUUAUGGUGUGGUUAUAUUGCCAGCUAGCAAUGUUCCUUGUGCCCAGACCUAAAGUUGCUUCUCUCUGCCCGUUUUUCCCACUCACCACCUAUGUCACACUGAGAGUUGUGGUGACAACCUUACAUAACUAUUGAGCAAUGGAGUGUGGUGACAUGUACUUAAAAUCUACGAGAUUGUCAUGUUGUCCUCCUGGAAUGUAGAUACUAUGAGAGAAACCUUGUAGUAAUGGUAGUGAAAGGGUAAGGGUGAGGAUGUGUGCAGAUCUGAGUCUCUCCCCGCAACCCCUGCAAUGUAUCACAGAACCCUGAAAUGUCUUUGCCUUAAGCUGGUGUCCCUCCUCUGAUACACAGUGAAGUGGUGCACAAGUAUUCUUACUAUACCUUAGGAUCAUUUCUUUCAUACCAAUUGGUGCAAGAGUAAUAUAAGAGUAAAAAUUGUAGCUUAGAUAUUUUGUCUUUCAACCUUCAAGCUAGUAAAUUUGUGAUAGAUUUCUACUUACAAAACAUUAUUUAGCAUAUAGGAAUAACUUCAAAAUGGUGCAUUAUAACAAAUGAUGACUAAAUGUACAACAGCUUAUAAUUACAUAUGUGAGUACAAUAGAUACUGUCAAAACAAUGUGAGCUUAAAGAGUGUUGUCACCUGAUCAGUCACUCCAUCCACACCAGUCAACAUGCAAAUGAAUGGCAGACAUGAACAACAUAGCUUUAAAUGAUAAUAAAGUGUUAUUUUGUUUUCCA
Portunus trituberculatus (swimming crab) is the source of this 3010-nucleotide RNA transcript. RefSeq lists it as uncharacterized. NCBI's taxonomy places the organism in Eukaryota, Metazoa, Arthropoda, Malacostraca, Decapoda, Portunidae. The record is from RefSeq and is a predicted model, not a curated record. The transcript has 9 exons.